CAAGUGCAUCGGGUCUUGCAGCUCAUGCAGAGUCGGCAAUGAGUGUCGAGGUUCUGAUCCUGUUUUCUCGCAGGCUUUUGCGUCAUGGUUAUUAGGGUAUCGGAGCAGAACUUGAUGCAGCAGGACGCCUGGAGCUCUGUCUAUCAUCUCCGUUUGUGGGUUGCAUUGCCAUCGCGUUUUUGCUACUGUUUCUUGCACGCUCGGCGAUGUCUAAAGCUUUGAGCUUUGAGCUUGGGUUCCGCCAAACCCUGCUUGGCUCCAGCCCUUUGAUGGUAGUUCGAGAACCCUAGAAACCAUAACGCUCGGUCUCAAUCUUACCUCUGUUUACAUUCUAAGCUACGUUGCAUUGCAGGGCAAAGUGAUAGAGUGGGAACAGUUUGAUGCAGAGUCCUGCUGCAAGCACUUCCAAAGUCAUGGAGGUUGAAUGGUUCGACACUCACGUAGAAGAGAUUUUACAGUUAGAUUCUAUGUAGACAAGGCCACAUUAGUUGGAUCUGUCAGAUGCAGGACAUAUUUGGAGCAACACUUUUUAAUCGAAUCAGUGUUGUUUAUAAUGUUGUUAAUCAUUUUGACAUUUGUAACAGUAGUUGCAGUUACUUGAUUCGCAAAAGCACGUGCUGUGAUUAAACAGACUCCUCAGGGUCUCUGGUGCGCAGCAUUAGAACUGUAGAAGCACACUGCUGCACAAUUGGAGUAAAAAUUUCUUCAACGUGGAAUCCGGCUGCUCGGGUACCCAGCCAUCUUGACUUUCACUGUACAGACGAUCCCGACGCCAACUUUAAGUCCCACCUGCAAAUUUGAUCGUCGUCGUAAUUUCCUGAUAAGUACAAAACAUUUCAGAUUCUACCGGCUUGAACGCCAGUAAUAAACCCAAGGGAAUUCAUCGGAGAAUUCAAAGAUUCUGGCUGCCUCAAACCUGCUCAGUAGUACUACGGGAACCCUCAGCUGAGACCGGUGCACAUGGUUUGCUGAUCUUUUUCAUUACCAGUUCAGUAUUGGUUUGACGUUAUUUUUUGGUGCAGUCAGCUUAGUCUCCAAGUUUGUGUACUCGUCGUGAAAAAGUAUUUGUCAUGUUCGGAGUGGGGCUGCAAGCUGUGUUUGGAAAGUGUGACUAAUGAUACCCGUCAAAGGUCCAGGUACUUUUUCUUGUGAAAGAUGGACGAAGUCACUGACUGAGAAAACGUAGAUUUGACGAUGAUCCAUUUCAGAGGCGUUGAUGAUUCAUGUACAUCUAUGACACAGCUUGCAGCCCACUUCUAUCGCAAACCGUAUUUUCUCAAAGCCAGCUGUCUGAAGGUCUGGUAAUGUUUAUGAAAACGAAACCACAUAGCUAAACACUGGUCAUAAAAUCUACGAUUUUCCGGUUGUAAGUAGGCUUCCGAGUGCUUCAAAGCUUGGAUUCCCUCAGAUUCAUGUCCUUAAAAAUAAGCCAGGUCUACAAGUAACGUCUACAGGAGGGUGAGAAGACCCCAUUCAAAAUGGUGGGAAGUUAUUCCAACUCAUAACUUACAAUAAAUCAAAAUCUGUGCAAUUUGAUGUUAUAGGUUUGACCUAAAACAUCAAAACCUAUGUAUUGCAACGUUGCAACAGAUAAUGAGAUCUCGUUCAGACAAUAAUGGCAGACUUUUUCACAAAGUUCAUAAACUUUUGCUUCAAGUGGUG
This is a non-coding RNA of Physcomitrium patens, 1662 nucleotides long. NCBI's taxonomy places the organism in Eukaryota, Viridiplantae, Streptophyta, Bryopsida, Funariales, Funariaceae. The record is from RefSeq and is a predicted model, not a curated record.